AGUUAUGAACUGUUUCUGAGAGACAAAUAACACCAGGAUCCUUUUCUAUGUAGCUGACAGCUGGCACACAGUAAAAAAUGGAGGGUCAAUAUUUCAGAGUAAACCUAUUUUAACCUAGAUAGAGUAUUUACAACUCUAUGAAGAGUAAACCAGCUCUAACAUCAGAGUUAAAAGUCAGUGUAAAGUUUGUUAGUCACGCAGUGAAGACUUAACUCCACACAGUGUUGAUUUUUACCAGUCUGCGGGUGUGUGCGGCAGAGCUCUGAUGUGCAUGGAAUUUUCUCUGAAAAGCUGCCACAGUCAAAAAGGUUUAAGAGUGUGCAAAAACCAAAUCUCUGAGAGAUGCAACCAGAAGAUGGAUUAGAAACAUACUUGAGGCUGAGAUGACAGAAUAACAUGGGACAUCUCCCCCUAAAAGCGUAAGAGUAAUGUCUGCGCAGGGCAUUGUUGCUCUGUCUCCAUAUCUGAAAGGCCCAUAUUCACAACAUGGAUAUAAACAUUACUACGAUCCAGAGAGCGGUUCAGGAUACAUUGCAUGGUUGAAGACCAUUCAAAGAAAAGCUGCGGAGGAAAGAAGCAUCUCAGUUUGCAAAUCUCCCAAAAGUAAGUUCACUUAUCAUUUAAAUGAUACUGAUGUAAUUUGUAGGCAGGAUUCAAUCAAAUUGUUUUUUCUGAACUUGGUGGGCCAGUCCAUGGUUGAUCCAGACCACUCACCACUAAGUGUUAUCAGAUGAGGCUGUAAGAGCAGAUAUUGCUCUUUUGAGACACUCUGCUGAUGAAGACACUAUCCGUGAAAAGAUGAAAGCUACCUCCAUUUAUCGGCAUUCAAUGGUCAACGAUGAAAAGAAUGCAGCAGAUGUUUUCAGAGGCCUGAUGCAGUUUCUGGACACACCAGGAAUGAUAGAACAAGAUUUCCGACUCCUGUUUUGUAAGGUCAAUGCAAGCAAAUUCUUGGAGAGGUAGCCCAUCAAUCUCAAAGCAAAGGUUGUAAAGGAAAGUCAUGGACAUGUCCCCACCUCAGAGCUCUUGGAGUUAAUGUGAAAUGCUGAUUCAGGCUGGGACAGUGACAUGUCUACUAUCUUGCUGCUGCUACAUCUGCUACCACCAUCUGCACAAGAGCGAAAGAGACCAGGAAAGAUGUCUGCAUCUCAAGCUGUCGAUAACCUCAUUAAAUUCCCAAAGGCUGGAACCAGUGUACAGCAGCAUCUAGACAACAGCAGUCAGCCCUACCUUCUUGACUCAGGGAUCCACAAGAAGCAGCAUUCACACCUUCAUUGUGAUUGAGAAGCAUGCACUUCCUCCCUUCCCAGGAAGGUGGCACAGAUGCCCCUCCAGUGGUACUCCUUGGGCUCUCGCACUCUGGGGUCCCUGAAUGUCUGGAGCCUGGAUCUCCUCCAUGCCUGCUUCAUGCCCUGGGGGACGGGGCUAUGGCCCUCCACACCCUCUAGCACACCGUUACAUGGGGAAACCUUCUGUAUACAAGCGCGCUGAUCCACA
This is a long non-coding RNA of Oreochromis aureus, 1497 nucleotides long. The record is from Ensembl. NCBI's taxonomy places the organism in Eukaryota, Metazoa, Chordata, Actinopteri, Cichliformes, Cichlidae.